GCGUGCUUUAGACUCAAGAUCGCUAUGACGACGACGAUUCGGCAAUGAGCCAUCUGAAGCAGUUUCGCGGGCUCACUGAAGGCCGACUGACUUUGGAGCACAACGAUGCUCCUCAAGAUCUUGCUGUUCAAACUGCACAGUCUACUGGUGAUCCUUUUCGUAACGCCAAAUUACACAAUCAUCACAUGAUGGCAUACGAUCCUCCUUCGUCGCAGCCGUCUCAUCACAAACAACCGAUCAAGGGCGACACGAAGCAAACUUAUGGACGGAAGACUCAGUUUUAUUCUAGUGGAAUGGCUAACGAUGUUGGUCAUGGGAUGCUUGUGUAUGGCAGCGAUCCAGCAGGAAAGUCUGUGGAGUAUUCUCCUGCCGUCACACUGAGGGAAAGGACAUCUGCAGACAUUGUAGCAAGAAGAAGACAACAGGAAGAAGCUGACCGAGAUAUUGCUCAGUGGAGACAACGAAAAGCAGCAGAACAACAGAACAGGAACGAAGAGAAACGAAAGGAUCUUGAACUGUUGCGAGGUUAUGUACCGUGGGGAAAGCCGGGUGCUGGAGCUCCACUGAAAGGAUGCAACGGCACUGUUCAGGCACAGAGGGGCAAGUUACUUGAAGAACCAAUGGAACCACCUAGUCCACAGGGUUUUUUCUCUUUGUUUGGUAAGCCUGGAGCUGGUGCUCCUAACCGGACAACAUCCGGUAGAGUGAAGGCAGCGUUUGUGCAUGAUCAUAGUACACGGUUCCAAUCGACAAUGAAACGCGAUGUAGAACAUCGUUAUAGAUAUGCUAAAGGCCAUGAUUGCAUCACUGAUUAUGCUCGCAGUCUCGACUCACAAGUGAAGCUGCAGGCUGAGCAACAAGCCAGAAAUAAAGAGUGGGAGCUAGAAAGAGACACAGAAACUAUACACUAUGAUCCUUAUGGUCGACCUGGCGGAGGUGCUCCGAACAGAAAUGACACUGGAGGUGUCAUUACGAGUUUGAAAAAUUCUCUAAGUUCUGAGAGCAGCAAGUCAUUAGAGGAGAAGAAGAGAUACAGCCAACGUCUAGAUCGGCAAAUUCAAGAGAAAGCAAGAUCACGAAAAGAAUCGAUGGGUUUGGAGGUUGAUUAUAAUCCGUGGGGAAAAGGAACGGGUGUACCUCAACGUGAUCCAAGUGGUAACAUACGGAGAUACAGAUACAGUGAGAAAAAUGUUAUUCGAGAGUUUUCUCCAAUUGAUGAAUCAGGAAAUCAAUUGAUGUUUGGUAAAGCAGGAGGUGGUGCCCCAAUUUUGGAUAUCCAGGGAAGACCUCGAGCCCACCUUCAAAACACACUGAAAGAUGAGGUGGCGUUUGAUGUAUCAGGUAGUAGACAUGGAGAAAGUGAUGAAUAUUUUCAGUUUGGUCGCCCUGGUGGCGGUGCACCUGUUAAAGAUCAAAAUGGGAAAUUGGCAGCAAAGCGAGGCAUGGGACCACAACGACAAGAAAAGUUGAGAAAUAGUCAAGAACAAAAGGAGUAUUUGGAUUCACUGAGGUAUGACAUUGAAGUAAAACGAGAUCGAGAUCGUCAACAGAAGGAAGAAGAUUUACGACAGAGCAAUGAGUUUGCUCGGUUGGUUGAACAAGGCAAAAUCGGUCAACCAAAGCGAGAUCCAUUCACAGGGAACAUGUUGAGAAAGCAACCGAAGACUGGCUCAGAUGUCACUUCAUUGAGGUUUGAUGUACGAAGACCUGAUCGGGAGGAGGCAAUGGAAUACUAUAGUGAUCUAAAUAAACAGGUCGAGACACGUCAGAAGCAUCAGGAGAAACCUACAGAGGUGAAUCCCAGUGAAAGCAACACGCAAUUGCCAUGGGAAAGAUCUGUGGAAAAAGAUCAAAGGCAGCAGAAGAAUUAUGGAAGGGAAUUGAAUGAAAUGAUGAGAGAAAAGGAAGACAAGAAAUUUUUAGAGAGCAAUGAGCGUUUGACAGAUGAGCAAAUGCACGUUGACUCAUACAAUGGCAUGUGGGGAAGACCUGGUGCUGGAGCCCCUCGUCGUGAUGCUAAGGGAAAGAUCGUUGCACAUAGAAAUUACAGAACGCUUCAGGAAGACAGUCAUCGUACAGAACCAGUUCGUUUAUGACAGAAUUAAUCUUCGCUUUAGCUAAUUUCUUGCAAGAAAUUGAAUUAGAACAGGCUGUAAAACAUGGAAGAGAUUGCUUCCUGUGUAGAAUUAAUGUUCUUAGAUCUACUUGUGUGACUAUGCAGGACUGGUAGGUAGUACAGUGAUGUCUUGAGGUUUGUAUUAGACCUUGUUGUAAGUGAGUCAAAGUGGUAGA
Molecule: RNA transcript, 2292 nt
Organism: Corticium candelabrum
Lineage: Eukaryota; Metazoa; Porifera; Homoscleromorpha; Homosclerophorida; Plakinidae
Exons: 20
Source: RefSeq, a predicted model, not a curated record